Long non-coding RNA from Melopsittacus undulatus (budgerigar), 1059 nucleotides. RefSeq lists it as uncharacterized. The transcript is spliced from 2 exons. The record is from RefSeq and is a predicted model, not a curated record. NCBI's taxonomy places the organism in Eukaryota, Metazoa, Chordata, Aves, Psittaciformes, Psittaculidae.
CUUCCUUUCAGAAUCUAAUCAAACAUCAUGCGCAAAGGGCGUCUCAGAUCCUCCAGACUAUCCCAGGAGCAGUAUAAAAGCACACACUGCUCACAUCUCUCCUAACAGCUUCUCCUGACUUCUCCUCUGGAACUUGGUCUUCUGCCUUUCAGAUCCAUCUCCUCCACCACAGAACCAUGUCCUACAGACAGCUGUGCAACUACCAGUGCUCCACACCAUGUGAAGUGGCCUGCCCACAGCCCAUUGCCAAUGCCUGGAAUGAGCCCUGUGUUACAUCAUGCGGUGACUCCAGGGCAGUGGUCUACCCACCCCCUGUUGUGAUCACUUUUCCUGGGCCAAUUCUCAGCUCCUGCCCUCAGGAAAGCAUAGUGGGAUCCUCAGCACCAGCUGCUAUUGGGACCUCACUUGGUUAUGGUGGAUCGUAUGGUUACAGAGGCUCUAUUGUUUAUGGGGGAUCACAGGAAAGCAAGUUUUCAUACCCUUAUUUUUCUCAGAGGUUUACUGGUUAUCGCUCUAGGUAUGAGCCCUGCCAAACCCAGCAGGAGUACACUUACACCAAGAGCAGCCAGGAUACUGAAUGCAAGAUACAAACUCAAGAGUAAGAUGGGGCUUUUAAGAUGCUGUCAUUAAAAGGCUGAGUCUUUCUAACAAUUCAUAUUGUAUUUGUGCUUGUACCUGCUUAUGUACUUGUCUUUUCUUAUCUAUGUGUUCUCCUAUUCUUCUCAUGGUCCAGAUUUUCAAAUGCAGUAAAACUCCUUUCACAUUCAACCUUGUAACAUUAUAGAAGCAUCAUAAUGGAAAAGUUUGUAUAUUGUGAUUUCUUCUUUUUGGUACUGCCUGAUGGCAAUCAAGAGUGAUGUUAACAGAUGAAAACUGGACUGCAUUGUCAAGCUCACAGCUACAAAAGAAGAAAAGAACACUGUGCUUGAAAUGAAACUUCCUGAAACAAGAAACCUCAGUUGGAAAAGCCUCAGAUUCCUUGUUCUCUGUAUGAUCAUGUUUUGCUUUUGUAAACUUUCCUUUUCUAUUGCCUAUUAAAAAAAUCAUGCUGCAUCAUAA